Molecule: transfer RNA, 79 nt
Filed under: Chloroflexota bacterium
Lineage: Bacteria; Bacillati; Chloroflexota
Description: Chloroflexi bacterium tRNA-Pro
Rfam family: tRNA
About the family: Transfer RNA (tRNA) molecules are approximately 80 nucleotides in length.
Source: RNAcentral
CGGGGUGUGGCGCAGCCUGGUAGCGCGCCUGACUGGGGGUCAGGAGGUUUCCCGGGUUCAAAUCCCGGCACCCCGACCG